UUUCAAGUUACUAAGGGCGCAUGGUGGAUGCCUUGGCACGAGAAGGCGAUGAAGGACGUGGCUAGCUGCGAUAAGCUUCGGGUUGCCGCUAAACAGGCGUUAUCCGAAGAUUUCCGAAUGGGGAAACCCGGCGGGAGUAAUGUCCCGUCAUUUAUGAACUGAAUACAUAGGUUCAUAGAGGCGACACUUACCGAAGUGAGACAUCUCAGUAGGUAAAGGAAAAGAAAUCAAACGAGAUUCCCGUAGUAGCGGCGAGCGAAGUGGGAA
This 267-nucleotide ribosomal RNA is filed under the name Candidatus Omnitrophota bacterium. RNAcentral's name for it is "partial 23S ribosomal RNA". It matches the Rfam family "Bacterial large subunit ribosomal RNA", at positions 1 to 264 of the family's 2925-position model. The record is from RNAcentral. Lineage: Bacteria; Pseudomonadati; Candidatus Omnitrophota.